AGCAGCCGCGGUAAUUCCAGCUCCAAUAGCGUAUAUUAAAGUUGUUGCAGUUAAAAGCUCGUAGUUGAACUUCGGGGUCUACCCAUUGGUCAGGCUUAAUUGUCUGCACUGGUGAGAUGAAUCUCUACCUUCUGAGGAACUUUCAUGCCAUUUAUUUGGUGUGAUGGGAAAUCAGGACUGUUACUUUGAAAAAUUGAGUGUUUAAAGCAGACUAUCGUCUGAAUACAUUAGCAUGGAAUAAUGAAAUAGGACGGACUGAUUCUAUUUCGUUGGUUUCUAGGAUCACCGUAAUGAUUAAUAGGGAUAGUUGGGGGCAUUAGAUUCAAUUGUCAGAGGUGAAAUUCUUGGAUUUAUUGAAGACUAACUACUGCGAAAGCAUUUUGCCAAGGAUGUUUUCAUUAAUCAAGAACGAAAGUUAGGGAUCGAAGACGAUCAGAUACCGUCGUAGUCUUAACCAUAAACUAUGCCGACUAGGGAUCGGACGAAGUUAAUUUUAUAAUUGACGCGUUACC
RNAcentral lists this unclassified non-coding RNA (512 nucleotides) under uncultured Diversispora. RNAcentral's name for it is "SSU rRNA". It matches the Rfam family "Eukaryotic small subunit ribosomal RNA", at positions 569 to 1087 of the family's 1831-position model. The record is from RNAcentral. Lineage: Eukaryota; Fungi; Glomeromycota; Glomeromycetes; Diversisporales; Diversisporaceae.